GGGGGACCCAGGUCUCGACGGGGUAGUGGACUGCAAGAUGGCGGGCCGUGUCGCCGAGCACGUAAAAGCGGCAAGGCUAUAAACGCCAACAAUCGCGAACUGGCCCUCGCUGCGUAAGUAGCGAAGCCAAACCGGGGCUAGACCCCGGCGCCGAUCCGCUCCGCGUCAGCAGGAACGGAAACCGGCGUUAAAGCUCGCUGACUCGCUCCCGGCGGGCGUCGCGGCCGCCGGGCGGACUCUCUACCGCGACUGGCCUUGACGGAUCCGGUCCCACGGGAGCCCUCAAGGCGAGAUCGAGAACCGGGACUACGCUCGUAGAGAUCUUGCGGAACGCUGCUUCGGACGCGAGUUCGAUUCUCGCCGCCUCCACCA
Molecule: transfer-messenger RNA, 372 nt
Filed under: Chloroflexota bacterium
Lineage: Bacteria; Bacillati; Chloroflexota
Description: Chloroflexi bacterium transfer-messenger RNA
Rfam family: transfer-messenger RNA
About the family: Bacterial tmRNA, also known as 10Sa RNA or SsrA, is named for its dual tRNA and mRNA-like properties. Its role is to liberate the mRNA from a stalled ribosome.
Source: RNAcentral